GCAGGCUUGGAGCGGCUUAUGUUAACCCGCUGCUGGCACAGACUCGUGGGAUAAUCCACAUUAGCCAGCCAGUUUAGAGGUGAAAUGGGAACAGGCAGACAGUGCCAAGCCGUUUUCAAUAGCAGGUGACAUUUGAGUUAGUAACAAGGUAGCGGACGAGUUUUUAAAGGGUUUUUCGACCUUACAUUGAGUUGAAAGGCAUUGUAAAAGCAGUUCGUUUGUAAAGACUCAUUCAUAAAGUUCUUAACUCAGAGCAUGUAUCUAAGUAGAGAUGGUAACUGAGCUUACCCUUCCCGUAGUGGAAAUCACAUGAGACAACAAUGCAGCAUAAUUUUUUACUAUUUGUCUCAGUUAAAAUGUAGCAUUUCUUUGAGUUCGUAAGGCUGACGGUCUCUUUCAAAGAGGCUGGACUCAACCGUGUGACUACCGCUCCCUGGUGGUCUAGUGGUUAGGAUUCGGCGCUCUCACCGCCGCGGCCCGGGUUCGAUUCCCGGUCAGGGAACACAACUUUUUGAGCUUUCGGUCAAUCACAGCAAAAAUUUUUGGCACAACUUCACCUGCUUCCAAGGUGCGUGGGGAGGAUGAAAAAAUUCACAAUGCACGGACUCCAGCAACACUUCAAGGAAAGAGGAACAACUUUAUUGACCACAUCACAUCUUCAUAGAUAAACCAGCUCCCAUAUAACAAGUCACACCCUCUCAUGCAGCUCACUUCAGUCUUACCGCUCACAGAUCUUACCGUGGUGGGCUUGGAAGAGGCAGAGCUCUGUUGAGUUCGCAGCAUGAAGGUAAACAGACAGACACA
Molecule: long non-coding RNA, 804 nt
Organism: Oreochromis niloticus (Nile tilapia)
Lineage: Eukaryota; Metazoa; Chordata; Actinopteri; Cichliformes; Cichlidae
Exons: 2
Source: RefSeq, a predicted model, not a curated record